This 303-nucleotide ribosomal RNA is filed under the name uncultured bacterium. Its description in RNAcentral is "partial 16S ribosomal RNA". It matches the Rfam family "Bacterial small subunit ribosomal RNA", at positions 507 to 809 of the family's 1533-position model. The record is from RNAcentral.
AGCAGCCGCCGCGGUAAUACAGAGGGUGCGAGCGUUAAUCGGAUUUACUGGGCGUAAAGCGUGCGUAGGCGGCUUCUUAAGUCGGAUGUGAAAUCCCUGAGCUUAACUUAGGAAUUGCAUUCGAUACUGGGAAGCUAGAGUAUGGGAGAGGAUGGUAGAAUUCCAGGUGUAGCGGUGAGAUGCGUAGAGAUCUGGAGGAAUACCGAUGGCGAAGGCAGCCAUCUGGCCUAAUACUGACGCUGAGGUACGAAAGCAUGGGGAGCAAACAGGAUUAGAUACCCGCGUAUCCCUGUCUCUUAUACA